Molecule: ribosomal RNA, 1485 nt
Filed under: Cyanobium sp. FGCU6
Lineage: Bacteria; Bacillati; Cyanobacteriota; Cyanophyceae; Synechococcales; Prochlorococcaceae
Description: bacterial SSU rRNA
Rfam family: Bacterial small subunit ribosomal RNA
Source: RNAcentral
ACAACGGAGAGUUUGAUCCUGGCUCAGGAUGAACGCUGGCGGCGUGCUUAACACAUGCAAGUCGAACGAACCUUCGGGUUAGUGGCGGACGGGUGAGUAACGCGUGGGAACCUGCCCUCAGGAGGGGGAUAACGGCUGGAAACGGCCGCUAAUACCCCAUAUGCCGAGAGGUGAAAGGAAUUUCGCCUGAGGAUGGGCCCGCGUCUGAUUAGCUAGUUGGUGGGGUAAGGGCCUACCAAGGCGACGAUCAGUAGCUGGUCUGAGAGGAUGAUCAGCCACACUGGGACUGAGACACGGCCCAGACUCCUACGGGAGGCAGCAGUGGGGAAUUUUCCGCAAUGGGCGAAAGCCUGACGGAGCAACGCCGCGUGAGGGAUGAAGGCCUCUGGGCUGUAAACCUCUUUUCUCAAGGAAGAAGACCUGACGGUACUUGAGGAAUAAGCCACGGCUAAUUCCGUGCCAGCAGCCGCGGUAAUACGGGAGUGGCAAGCGUUAUCCGGAAUUAUUGGGCGUAAAGCGUCCGCAGGUGGCCCUGUAAGUCUGUCGUUAAAGCGUGGAGCUUAACUCCAUUUGAGCGAUGGAAACUACAGGGCUAGAGUGUGGUAGGGGCAGAGGGAAUUCCCGGUGUAGCGGUGAAAUGCGUAGAUAUCGGGAAGAACACCAGUGGCGAAGGCGCUCUGCUGGGCCAUCACUGACACUCAUGGACGAAAGCCAGGGGAGCGAAAGGGAUUAGAUACCCCUGUAGUCCUGGCCGUAAACGAUGAACACUAGGUGUCGGGGGAAUCGACCCCCUCGGUGUCGUAGCCAACGCGUUAAGUGUUCCGCCUGGGGAGUACGCACGCAAGUGUGAAACUCAAAGGAAUUGACGGGGGCCCGCACAAGCGGUGGAGUAUGUGGUUUAAUUCGAUGCAACGCGAAGAACCUUACCAGGGUUUGACAUCCUGCGAACCUCUGAGAAAUCGGGGGGUGCCUUCGGGAGCGCAGAGACAGGUGGUGCAUGGCUGUCGUCAGCUCGUGUCGUGAGAUGUUGGGUUAAGUCCCGCAACGAGCGCAACCCACGUCUUUAGUUGCCAGCAUUGAGUUGGGCACUCUAGAGAGACCGCCGGUGAUAAACCGGAGGAAGGUGUGGAUGACGUCAAGUCAUCAUGCCCCUUACAUCCUGGGCUACACACGUACUACAAUGCUACGGACAAAGGGCAGCAAGCUCGCGAGAGUAAGCAAAUCCCAUAAACCGUGGCUCAGUUCAGAUCGUAGGCUGCAACUCGCCUACGUGAAGGAGGAAUCGCUAGUAAUCGCAGGUCAGCAUACUGCGGUGAAUACGUUCCCGGGCCUUGUACACACCGCCCGUCACACCAUGGAAGUUGGCCACGCCCGAAGUCGUUACUCCAACCCUUGUGGAGGAGGACGCCGAAGGUGGGGCUGAUGACUGGGGUGAAGUCGUAACAAGGUAGCCGUACCGGAAGGUGCGGCUGGAUCACCUCCUAA